UACGUAGGGUGCAAGCGUUGUCCGGAAUUAUUGGGCGUAAAGAGCUCGUAGGCGGUUUGUUGCGUCGGCUGUGAAAUCCCCGAGGCUCAACCCCCGGGCCUGCAUUCGAUACGGGCAGACUAGAGUUCGGUAGGGGAGUCUGGAAUUCCUGGUGUAGCGGUGAAAUGCGCAGAUAUCAGGAGGAACACCGGUGGCGAAGGCGGGACUCUGGGCCGAUACUGACGCUGAGGAGCGAAAGCGUGGGGGAGCAAACAGG
This 256-nucleotide ribosomal RNA is filed under the name uncultured bacterium. Its description in RNAcentral is "partial 16S ribosomal RNA". It matches the Rfam family "Bacterial small subunit ribosomal RNA", at positions 524 to 776 of the family's 1533-position model. The record is from RNAcentral.